AUACGGAGGGUGCAAGCGUUAAUCGGAAUUACUGGGCGUAAAGCGUACGUAGGCGGUUCGUUAAGUUAGAUGUGAAAGCCCCGGGCUUAACCUGGGGACUGCAUUUAAAACUGGCGGACUAGAGUUGAGUAGAGGGGAGUGGAAUUUCAGGUGUAGCGGUGAAAUGCGUAGAGAUCGGAAGGAACACCAGUGGCGAAGGCGACUCCCUGGACUCGAACUGACGCUGAGGUACGAAAGCGUGGGUAGCAAACGGGAUUAGAAACCCCAGUAGUCC
This 274-nucleotide ribosomal RNA is filed under the name uncultured bacterium. RNAcentral's name for it is "partial 16S ribosomal RNA". It matches the Rfam family "Bacterial small subunit ribosomal RNA", at positions 523 to 796 of the family's 1533-position model. The record is from RNAcentral.